RNAcentral lists this ribosomal RNA (253 nucleotides) under uncultured bacterium. RNAcentral describes it as "partial 16S ribosomal RNA". It matches the Rfam family "Bacterial small subunit ribosomal RNA", at positions 524 to 776 of the family's 1533-position model. The record is from RNAcentral.
UACGUAGGGUGCAAGCGUUACUCGGAAUUACUGGGCGUAAAGUGUGCGCAGGUGGCCGCGCAAGUCGAGUGUGAAAUCCCCGAGCUUAACUUGGGAAUUGCGCUCGAAACUACGUGGCUCGAGUGUGGCAGAGGAAGGUGGAAUUCCACGUGUAGCGGUGAAAUGCGUAGAGAUGUGGAGGAACACCGAUGGCGAAGGCAGCCUUCUGGGCCAACACUGACGCUCAUGCACGAAAGCGUGGGGAGCAAACAGG